This 445-nucleotide ribosomal RNA is filed under the name uncultured bacterium. RNAcentral's name for it is "bacterial SSU rRNA". It matches the Rfam family "Bacterial small subunit ribosomal RNA", at positions 330 to 792 of the family's 1533-position model. The record is from RNAcentral.
GCCAGACUCCUACGGGAGGCAGCAGUGGGGAAUAUUGCACAAUGGGGGAAACCCUGAUGCAGCGACGCCGCGUGAGUGAAGAAGUAUUUCGGUAUGUAAAGCUCUAUCAGCAGGGAAGAAAAUGACGGUACCUGACUAAGAAGCCCCGGCUAACUACGUGCCAGCAGCCGCGGUAAUACGUAGGGGGCAAGCGUUAUCCGGAUUUACUGGGUGUAAAGGGAGCGUAGACGGCAGGGCAAGUCUGGAGUGAAAGGCAGGGGCCCAACCCCUGGACUGCUCUGGAAACUGUCCGGCUGGAGUGCAGGAGAGGUAAGUGGAAUUCCUAGUGUAGCGGUGAAAUGCGUAGAUAUUAGGAGGAACACCAGUGGCGAAGGCGGUCUGCUGGACAGCAACUGACGCUGAGGCGCGAAAGCGUGGGGAGCAAACAGGAUUAGAUACCCUCGUA